UCAUAUCUCCUCUUCCUUCUGUCCCUGCUUCGUCAUCUGUCUACCCCAGCCUGGGUCCCUGUUUAUCCCCCAGUUCUGAUAUAUUCCAGUCCCUGCAUAGCUUCCUCUGUAGUGGAGUGUGCAUGUGUGUGCACACCUGCAUGCGAAUUUUAUUUCUACCCGGCCCCUCCUUCUCCCUCCUGUGUCCUCCAAAUACUGUUACAGUUAAGCCCCCCUUGUACUGGGGAAAUGGAACCAACUGUGGUCGAGGGUAGUCUAGGGUACGGGGCAAGUUUAUAUUAGUAGCUGGAGCAACGGGGCAAAAUUGAUUAAUAAUACCUUGGUGACGGGGCAGUAUUGAUUAAUGUAGCCCUGGUAACUUUGUGUCUGUAUCCCAGGUAACUUUGUGUGUGUUUAGCCAACCGUUUUGUAGUUUCUGUGUAUAACAGACUUGCCUAGAAC
Myotis brandtii (Brandt's bat) is the source of this 441-nucleotide long non-coding RNA. RefSeq lists it as uncharacterized. The record is from RefSeq and is a predicted model, not a curated record. Lineage: Eukaryota; Metazoa; Chordata; Mammalia; Chiroptera; Vespertilionidae. The transcript has 3 exons.